Molecule: ribosomal RNA, 253 nt
Filed under: uncultured bacterium
Lineage: Bacteria
Description: partial 16S ribosomal RNA
Rfam family: Bacterial small subunit ribosomal RNA
Source: RNAcentral
UACGGAGGGUGCAAGCGUUAUCCGGAUUCACUGGGUUUAAAGGGUGCGUAGGUGGGAAUGUAAGUCAGUGGUGAAAUCUCCGUGCUUAACAUGGAAACUGCCAUUGAUACUAUCUGUCUUGAAUACCGUGGAGGUCAGCGGAAUAUGUCAUGUAGCGGUGAAAUGCUUAGAUAUGACAUAGAACACCAAUUGCGAAGGCAGCUGGCUACACGAAUAUUGACACUGAUGCACGAAAGCGUGGGGAUCAAACAGG